Molecule: non-coding RNA, 102 nt
Filed under: Epulopiscium sp. Nele67-Bin004
Lineage: Bacteria; Bacillati; Bacillota; Clostridia; Lachnospirales; Lachnospiraceae
Also listed under: 1 other name
Description: THF (Tetrahydrofolate) riboswitch aptamer
Rfam family: THF (Tetrahydrofolate) riboswitch aptamer
About the family: THF riboswitch presents a pseudoknot that joins P1-P2 and the loop of P3 and two THF binding.
Source: Rfam by way of RNAcentral
GGCAGAGUAGGGAUAAAUGCGUUAAGUGCUUGAUACACGGGAAGUUGGUAUCUUGACGAAAAACUAUUAUAGUUUGCGGUGUUUAUCUCGCAUUCCGCUGCC